GUAUGGAGUGGGAAGGUGUAUGUGUGCGCGAUGGCAGUGUGGUGUAGGGGGAGAGGGGGCGGACCCAUUAGCAUAUGGUCUAAGGCCUAUGGUGAGGUCUGUGCCAUCGCUGUGAACUUGUCAGGGUCUUUUGUGUGUUUGAGGAGCAGGUUUUUACGUUGUUUUAUUCGUUUUUUUAUGUCCAAAGACCCUUUGAUUUGAAUAUUUAUAUUACAAAGCCUCGGCGAAGGUCAAAAUUACCAAGCAUUUUUAUUAUCAUAAUUUCAUUCAAGAUGUAUUUUCACUUUCUAAGAUUGAAGAUGAAAUUACGUACAUUAUUAUAUAGUUAUUAUUACUACUAUUUCUAUUAUUAUUAUUGUUGUUGUUGCUCUUGCUGUUGUUGUUAUCAAUCUUAUUAGUGUUCAUAUUAUUAUCAAUGUCCUGAAUAUUAUUAAUACUGUUAUUAUUGCUAUUAUUGUUAUCGUUAUCAUCAUUAUUUUCUCCAAGACCCCGUUUCACUUCCGAAAAGUGAGACCAGAAAGCGUGCGUUGUCUGACCCAGAGGAAGGCGUUGUGACAGCGCUGGCGCCGUGACUCACCUGGGGAAGCUGGAAAUUCUGUGCGCGUCAUCAGCCUUCCGAUUGCUGUGCUGUGCUUAUGUGUUUUGUGGUGAUUGUGGUGUUUGUUGAGGUGUCAGAGGCGCCUGCAUAGCUGAAUGGGCGGUUUUGCUGUGAUUGCUUCGUAUGUGAGGCAGCGUUUCCCGCCGUUGGCGCAGGGACGGAGGUGAGUGCCCCAGAUCUUUUCCGAGAGAACGGGAGGAUUCCUGAGCGAACAGU
Non-coding RNA from Penaeus vannamei (Pacific white shrimp), 814 nucleotides. NCBI's taxonomy places the organism in Eukaryota, Metazoa, Arthropoda, Malacostraca, Decapoda, Penaeidae. The record is from RefSeq and is a predicted model, not a curated record.